UUAGUGGCGAACGGGUGAGUAACACGUGGGCAAUCUGCCCUGCGCUCUGGGACAAGCCCUGGAAACGGGGUCUAAUACCGGAUAUGACACACGACCGCAUGGUCUGUGUGUGGAAAGCUCCGGCGGUGCAGGAUGAGCCCGCGGCCUAUCAGCUUGUUGGUGGGGUAAUGGCCUACCAAGGCGACGACGGGUAGCCGGCCUGAGAGGGCGACCGGCCACACUGGGACUGAGACACGGCCCAGACUCCUACGGGAGGCAGCAGUGGGGAAUAUUGCACAAUGGGCGCAAGCCUGAUGCAGCGACGCCGCGUGAGGGAUGACGGCCUUCGGGUUGUAAACCUCUUUCAGCAGGGAAGAA
RNAcentral lists this ribosomal RNA (357 nucleotides) under Streptomyces olivaceus. RNAcentral describes it as "bacterial SSU rRNA". It matches the Rfam family "Bacterial small subunit ribosomal RNA", at positions 92 to 449 of the family's 1533-position model. The record is from RNAcentral. Lineage: Bacteria; Bacillati; Actinomycetota; Actinomycetes; Kitasatosporales; Streptomycetaceae.